RNAcentral lists this ribosomal RNA (301 nucleotides) under uncultured bacterium. RNAcentral describes it as "partial 16S ribosomal RNA". It matches the Rfam family "Bacterial small subunit ribosomal RNA", at positions 509 to 807 of the family's 1533-position model. The record is from RNAcentral.
CAGUCGCCGCGGUAAUACGAAGGGGGCUAGCGUUGUUCGGAUUUACUGGGCGUAAAGCGCACGUAGGCGGACUUUUAAGUCAGGGGUGAAAUCCCGGGGCUCAACCCCGGAACUGCCUUUGAUACUGGGAGUCUUGAGUUCGAGAGAGGUGAGUGGAAUUGCGAGUGUAGAGGUGAAAUUCGUAGAUAUUCGCAGGAACACCAGUGGCGAAGGCGGCUCACUGGCUCGAUACUGACGCUGAGGUGCGAAAGCGUGGGGAGCAAACAGGAUUAGAUACCCCCGUAGUCCCUGUCUCUUAUAC